Long non-coding RNA from Acanthochromis polyacanthus (spiny chromis), 1062 nucleotides. RefSeq lists it as uncharacterized. The transcript is spliced from 3 exons. The record is from RefSeq and is a predicted model, not a curated record. Lineage: Eukaryota; Metazoa; Chordata; Actinopteri; Pomacentridae.
AUCUUCCGUUUUCCGGUGAGGCGACAGGGAGUCCCAUUCCUGACGAACCGUCCCCCUUCAAUAAUAGGUGCUCUCCACAGCUGCGAGUGUGACUUCUUUUGGAGUGACACUCGGUAGUGGAGGGGGAGUGUGUAGGGGGCUGUUUGGGAUUCAGCCCGAGAGAUAGUAAGAGUUGCGACACUUCCCAUAGGGUGCUGUUGUACGCUUUCUUCUGGUCUACUUCCGGGUUGUGGAGGCUUGUUUAGUUCCUAGCACCGCUUCGACAGUGAUAGCCACCGUUCAUUUGCACUGCAGGUUGUUGAGUAUAUGUGGAGUAUCCCGAGAGCCCUCACUGAAGACACGAAAACCCUCAUCAAAGUGUACUAAGCCAGAAAUGAGAGGCUUACAGAUGCACAACACAUUUUAAAUCAUUUUCGUCCCUCAUGGUUGCUGGUGCUGGGGACAGGUGCUGGUGCCUGCUGGUGCCUGCUGGUGCCUGCUGGUGGCGACUGCUGGCGGCGACUGCUGGCUGUGGCCACUGAGGGACACUGGAUUCUGCGGGCAGUGUGCUUGGAUUUGAGAGGCCGAGUAUGUCCAUGACAACGAGAAAGGUAUUUGGCAGUGGCCUUACUGUUGUGACCUUCGGUGAGGAAGUCUGCCCAGUUUUUGUUGCCUUUUUUGUCUGACUCUUGCUGCCAAGGUGUCCCUUGUCACGGAUAUUUAUCUUCCUCUCAGCCCUGAUGCACUUCAGUUGAAUUCUCAAUCUCAGCCUGAUGUAAGUUGUCACAUUUUUUUUUUCAACUCAUGGCAUGAGGGAAGGUUGCUGUUCAGACUCAUGGCCUCUCUUUCCAGCUCUGCCACGACAUUGGUGUGCCAACCUGGUGUGCAAAGUGUUGAAUAUGUUCUCUCCCUAUUUUACUUCAUCUACUUUUUAGUGUCCAGGACACACAUGAAGAGGAUGUCUCCCCACACACAAAUCAUUUGAUUAUUUUUUUAUUAUUUCAAAAAUAAUUGUAAAAAAAUAACAUGUUGUUGUUUCUCCCAUUGUCAAUAAAACAUACUAUUUCAUUCAUCAAAGCAUAA